GACGAACGCUGGCGGCGCGCCUAACACAUGCAAGUCGAACGAGCGAGAGAGAGCUUGCUUUCUCGAGCGAGUGGCGAACGGGUGAGUAACGCGUGAGGAACCUGCCUCAAAGAGGGGGACAACAGUUGGAAACGACUGCUAAUACCGCAUAAGCCCACGGUGCCGCAUGGCACAGAGGGAAAAGGAGCAAUCCGCUUUGAGAUGGCCUCGCGUCCGAUUAGCUAGUUGGUGAGGUAAUGGCCCACCAAGGCGACGAUCGGUAGCCGGACUGAGAGGUUGAACGGCCACAUUGGGACUGAGACACGGCCCAGACUCCUACGGGAGGCAGCAGUGGGGAAUAUUGCACAAUGGGGGAAACCCUGAUGCAGCGACGCCGCGUGGAGGAAGAAGGUCUUCGGAUUGUAAACUCCUGUUGUUGGGGAAGAUAAUGACGGUACCCAACAAGGAAGUGACGGCUAACUACGU
RNAcentral lists this ribosomal RNA (465 nucleotides) under uncultured bacterium. RNAcentral describes it as "partial 16S ribosomal RNA". It matches the Rfam family "Bacterial small subunit ribosomal RNA", at positions 28 to 506 of the family's 1533-position model. The record is from RNAcentral.